UGUGUUGACUUUGUGGAAAUUAUAUG
RNAcentral lists this non-coding RNA (26 nucleotides) under Mus musculus (house mouse). Lineage: Eukaryota; Metazoa; Chordata; Mammalia; Rodentia; Muridae. The record is from RNAcentral.